Molecule: ribosomal RNA, 194 nt
Filed under: uncultured bacterium
Lineage: Bacteria
Description: partial 16S ribosomal RNA
Rfam family: Bacterial small subunit ribosomal RNA
Source: RNAcentral
GGAGCUGCAACUCGACUCCAUGAAGCUGGAUUCGCUAGUAAUCGCGCAUCAGCCAUGGCGCGGUGAAUACGUUCCCGGGCCUUGUACACACCGCCCGUCAAGCCAUGGGAGUCGGGAGUGCCUGAAGUUCGUGACCGUCACAGGAGCGACCUAAGGCAAGACCGAUGACUGGGGCUAAGUCGUAACAAGGUAAC